This 253-nucleotide ribosomal RNA is filed under the name uncultured bacterium. RNAcentral's name for it is "partial 16S ribosomal RNA". It matches the Rfam family "Bacterial small subunit ribosomal RNA", at positions 524 to 776 of the family's 1533-position model. The record is from RNAcentral.
UACGGAAGGGGCAAGCGUUGUUCGGAAUCAUUGGGCGUAAAGGGCGCGUAGGUGGUUCUGUAUGUCUACCGUGAAAGCGUACGGCUCAACCGUAUUUUGUCGGUAGAAACUGCAGGACUUGAGGCUGGGAGGGGCUGGUGGAAUUCCCUGUGUAGCGGUGAAAUGCGUAGAGAUGGGGGAGAACACUCGUGGCGAAGGCGGCCAGCUAGACCAGUCCUGACACUGAGGCGCGACAGCGUGGGGAGCAAACAGG